AACGAGCGCAACCCUUAUCCUUUGUUGCCAGCGGUUAGGCCGGGAACUCAAAGGAGACUGCCAGUGAUAAACUGGAGGAAGGUGGGGAUGACGUCAAGUCAUCAUGGCCCUUACGAGUAGGGCUACACACGUGCUACAAUGGCAUAUACAAAGAGAAGCGACCUCGCGAGAGCAAGCGGACCUCAUAAAGUAUGUCGUAGUCCGGAUUGGAGUCUGCAACUCGACUCCAUGAAGUCGGAAUCGCUAGUAAUCGUGGAUCAGAAUGCCACGGUGAAUACGUUCCCGGGCCUUGUACACACCGCCCGUCACACCAUGGGAGUGGGUUGCAAAAGAAGUAGGUAGCUUAACCUUCGGGAGGGCGCUUACCACUUUGUGAUUCAUGACUGGGGUGAAGUCGUAACAAGGUAACCGUAGGGGAACCUGCGGUUGGAUCACCUCCUUA
This 442-nucleotide ribosomal RNA is filed under the name Citrobacter portucalensis. Its description in RNAcentral is "bacterial SSU rRNA". It matches the Rfam family "Bacterial small subunit ribosomal RNA", at positions 1091 to 1533 of the family's 1533-position model. The record is from RNAcentral. Lineage: Bacteria; Pseudomonadati; Pseudomonadota; Gammaproteobacteria; Enterobacterales; Enterobacteriaceae.